UGGCAACAGAUUUUACAUGCAGGUGGAAAAUUUGGUGGUUUAAGUAGUGGUUACAGUGUCUCAGGUGGACUACAUAGCGUGGGUUUGUCCGUUGUGAAUGCGUUAUCUGAGGCAUUAGAAGUUAUUGUUUGGCGUGAUGGGAAGGAAUACCAACAAAAAUAUUCCCGUGGAAAGCCUGUAACAACUUUAAUAUGUCAUGAGCUUCCAGAUGAAUCAAAAGAUCGUCAAGGGACACACAUUAAGUUUUGGCCUGACAAAGAAGUAUUCACUACUGCAAUUCAGUUUGAUUACCCCACCAUUGCUGGACGAAUUAGGGAGCUUGCAUUUUUAAACCCUGAGGUGGAGUCAUUACAACCUGCUUGCAGUUCCGUUGCAUCUUUGAAACUUUUAUUCAAUUGAUUUUAGCAUGUCUCUUGAAUUCUUCAUUUUUUUCUUUUUGAAUUUGGUGUUUAUUUAUUUAUUUAUUUUAAUACUUUGAACAAGGUGGAAUUUUCCUCGACAUUUACCAACCUUAAGUUGAAUCUGCUUUCUAUUUUUGCAGCUCCUCGAAUGUGGAGAUGUGGUCUAUCUCAAUCUGAUGAGUGCAUAUUCUGAAAUAUGCUGGAUUAUUCUUAUGUUAUUUAGAUUAGUACUUAAUGGUAGUUUAGUCUUGGCAUAUGCAAUUAAGAUUUUAGAGUUUCUUAUGUGCUUAUUUAACUUGUACCUUGCAUUCAAUAAUGAAAUAAUAAUAAUCUGAUUACCUUUGCAAUUGUUUCACAUAUUGUACUUAAAAUUUCUUUGCGAUAAAACUGUGUCCGUGCAAUAAUGUUAGAAGAUUAUAUAGGUAAGCCAGUGUGUAAAAAGGGCUGGCCUGCUCUACCUCGACUUGCAUUGCUCAUCUCCCCGUACAUACCUCAAACCUGCAGAUGGGGCAACAGGUUGUAGAAUUUGAAGCUAUGAUGAAAUAAUGUAGGUUCCACAUUAGAGUUGGCAUAAUGAAUGGCCAUAGACUAAACUGGGGACCUAAUUCGAUGCAGUGAGCUUGGUAUCACAUUUGCUGAUUUCAGAUGUGUCCUUGACAACCUGGCAGUUGUUAGCCUCUGCUUUCGGUGCUAGGAGUGCUUGGUUGUUUCCCUCUCUUGACUUUGUUUGAAUAAAUAUAUCUUGCACGUAGUUGCUAAAUAUAGAUCAACUAAUAAGGUCGUAAAUAUGUGGAUUUUAUUCAAUUAAGGAUUUAAAACAAUGUUUUGCCUUUGUCAAAUUGGUUUUGUUACUGAGUAUUAUGAUUCGCGUAACCUAAUCUUUGCUUUUACCUAAAAUAUUUUUAUCCUAUAAAUUGUCCAAAGACCUUAUGCCCUCUUAUAGACCAAAGUCUACCUUGUAAUACAUGGAGAUUAUCCAGUAAUUCUCUCUUUCUUGAAUGCCUUCAGGGCACAAUAUGCUGUGUUGAAAGAAGAGUGCCACCAAUUGUUUCCCAUUGUUGGAAGUGGUAGGUUUAUUACUGCACCAGUAAUCACUGAAGAUGGUGAUCCUAUUCAAGAUCCUAUAGUGCUUCUGGAAGCAAAUCCGGACAAGGGAUUGGCUACAGUUUCUCAAGAAAAUGCAACUCCUUGCAGCUCAACAAUGGUAAAAGAAGUGGGCAAGAAAAUAAUCCAAUGGAAGCUUACAUUACAUCAAAUAGGUCUCGAUGUGGUUCGCACUGAUAGGACUCUAGUUUUCUAUGAGAAGCAAGAAAACUUGUCAAAACUUUGGGACAUUCAUGCUGUCUAUGCAUGGUUUGAUAUAGAUGUAGGCUACUGUCAAGGUAGGUAGUCAAAUUAUGACUUCAAUAA
This is a non-coding RNA of Camellia sinensis, 1811 nucleotides long. The record is from RefSeq and is a predicted model, not a curated record. NCBI's taxonomy places the organism in Eukaryota, Viridiplantae, Streptophyta, Magnoliopsida, Ericales, Theaceae.